UCUGCGAACGCAUCAAAGGUGGGACUUGCAGGAGUUUGCGCGUGUUCCCUGUCAAAAGUACCGUCUGGCAGAUUUCGAUACACGAAGCGCAAGAGACGACACCGACCAUAAAUUAAUUUAUUCGGACUGCAUUCUCUUCGAGAGAGAAAAUUUCUAUUCAGCGUAUAUCUGAAUUAUAAAGUAUUUGAGAAUCCGAAA
Pogonomyrmex barbatus (red harvester ant) is the source of this 198-nucleotide long non-coding RNA. RefSeq lists it as uncharacterized. The record is from RefSeq and is a predicted model, not a curated record. Lineage: Eukaryota; Metazoa; Arthropoda; Insecta; Hymenoptera; Formicidae.